AAUGACUCUCGGCAACGGAUAUCUCGGCUCUCGCAUCGAUGAAGAACGUAGCGAAAUGCGAUACUUGGUGUGAAUUGCAGAAUCCCGUGAACCAUCGAGUCUUUGAACGCAAGUUGCGCCCGAAGCCAAUAGGCCAAGGGCACGUCUGGCUGGGUGUCACACAAAG
This 166-nucleotide ribosomal RNA is filed under the name Afzelia bella. Its description in RNAcentral is "5.8S ribosomal RNA". It matches the Rfam family "5.8S ribosomal RNA". Rfam says of the family: 5.8S ribosomal RNA (5.8S rRNA) is a component of the large subunit of the eukaryotic ribosome. It is transcribed by RNA polymerase I as part of the 45S precursor that also contains 18S and 28S rRNA. The record is from RNAcentral. Lineage: Eukaryota; Viridiplantae; Streptophyta; Magnoliopsida; Fabales; Fabaceae.